UACGUAGGUGGCAAGCGUUGUCCGGAAUUAUUGGGCGUAAAGCGCGCGCAGGCGGUCCUUUAAGUCUGAUGUGAAAGCCCACGGCUCAACCGUGGAGGGUCAAUGGAAACUGGGGGACUUGAGUGCAGAAGAGGAAAGCGGAAUUCCACGUGUAGCGGUGAAAUGCGUAGAGAUGUGGAGGAACACCAGUGGCGAAGGCGGCUUUCUGGUCUGUAACUGACGCUGAGGCGCGAAAGCGUGGGGAGCAAACAGG
RNAcentral lists this ribosomal RNA (253 nucleotides) under uncultured bacterium. Its description in RNAcentral is "partial 16S ribosomal RNA". It matches the Rfam family "Bacterial small subunit ribosomal RNA", at positions 524 to 776 of the family's 1533-position model. The record is from RNAcentral.